GAUGAAGAACGCAGCGAAAUGCGAUACGUAAUGUGAAUUGCAGAAUUCAGUGAAUCAUCGAAUCUUUGAACGCAUAUUGCGCUCUUUGGUAUUCCGAAGAGCAUGCUUGUUUGAGUAUCAGUAAACACCUCAAAGACUUCAAUUUGUUUUGAAUGGCUUUGGACUUGAGCAAUCCCAACACCAGUCUUUACGAUCGGUGGAGGGUUGCUUGAAAUGCAGGUGCAGCUGGACAUUCUCCUGAGCUAAAAGCAUAUUUAUUUAGUCCCGUCAAACGGAUUAUUACUUUUGCUGCAGCUAACAUAAAGGGAGUUUGACCGUAUUGGCUGACUGAUGCAGGAUUUCACAAGGGUCGGCAACGAUUCUUGUAAAACUCGAUCUCAAAUCAAGUAAGACUACCCGCUGAACUUAAGCAUAUCAAUAGCGGAGGA
This 428-nucleotide unclassified non-coding RNA is filed under the name soil metagenome. RNAcentral describes it as "partial contains 5.8S ribosomal RNA, internal transcribed spacer 2, and large subunit ribosomal RNA". The stretch from base 1 to 120 matches the Rfam family "5.8S ribosomal RNA", at positions 35 to 154 of the family's 154-position model. The record is from RNAcentral.